UACGUAGGGUGCGAGCGUUAAUCGGAAUUACUGGGCGUAAAGCGUGCGCAGGCGGUUAUGUAAGAUAGAGGCGAAAUCCCCGGGCUCAACCUGGGAACUGCCUUUGUGCCUGCAUGACUAGAGUACGGCAGAGGGGGAUGGAAUUCCGCGUGUAGCAGUGAAAUGCGUAGAUAUGCGGAGGAACACUGAUGGCGAAAGCAAUACCCUGGGCCUGUACUGACGCUCAUGCACGAAAGCGUGGGGAGCAAUCAGG
RNAcentral lists this ribosomal RNA (253 nucleotides) under uncultured bacterium. RNAcentral's name for it is "partial 16S ribosomal RNA". It matches the Rfam family "Bacterial small subunit ribosomal RNA", at positions 524 to 776 of the family's 1533-position model. The record is from RNAcentral.